RNAcentral lists this ribosomal RNA (497 nucleotides) under uncultured bacterium. RNAcentral describes it as "partial 16S ribosomal RNA". It matches the Rfam family "Bacterial small subunit ribosomal RNA", at positions 28 to 507 of the family's 1533-position model. The record is from RNAcentral.
GAUGAACGCUGGCGGCGUGCCUAAUACAUGCAAGUCGAGCGAACAGACGAGGAGCUUGCUCCUCUGACGUUAGCGGCGGACGGGUGAGUAACACGUGGAUAACCUACCUAUAAGACUGGGAUAACUUCGGGAAACCGGAGCUAAUACCGGAUAAUAUAUUGAACCGCAUGGUUCAAUAGUGAAAGACGGUUUUGCUGUCACUUAUAGAUGGAUCCGCGCCGCAUUAGCUAGUUGGUAAGGUAAAGGCUUACCAAGGCGACGAUGCGUAGCCGACCUGAGAGGGUGAUCGGCCACACUGGAGCUGAGACACGGUCCAGACUCCUACGGGAGGCAGCAGUAGGGAAUCUUCCGCAAUGGGCGAAAGCCUGACGGAGCAACGCCGCGUGAGUGAUGAAGGUCUUCGGAUCGUAAAACUCUGUUAUUAGGGAAGAACAAAUGUGUAAGUAACUAUGCACGUCUUGACGGUACCUAAUCAGAAAGCCACGGCUAACUACGUG